RNAcentral lists this ribosomal RNA (469 nucleotides) under uncultured bacterium. RNAcentral's name for it is "bacterial SSU rRNA". It matches the Rfam family "Bacterial small subunit ribosomal RNA", at positions 36 to 518 of the family's 1533-position model. The record is from RNAcentral.
CUGGCGGCGUGCCUAAUACAUGCAAGUCGAAUGGUAGUAGCAAUACAAACCAUGGCGAACGGGUGAGUAACACGUAGGUAACCUGUCUUUAAGACGAGGAUAACCAUUGGAAACGAUGGAUAAUACUGGAUAGGACAUUACAAGGGGCAUCCCUAAAUGUUUAAAGAUUAUUAUGUCACUUAGAGAGGGGCCUGCGGCGCAUUAGCUAGUUGGUGAGAUAACAGCCCACCAAGGCGAUGAUGCGUAGCCGGACUGAGAGGUUGAACGGCCACAAUGGAACUGAGAACGGUCCAUACUCCUACGGGAGGCAGCAGUAGGGAAUUUUCGGCAAUGGGCGCAAGCCUGAACCCGAGCAACGCCGCGUGAACGAAGAAGUUAUUCGUAAUGUAAAGUUCUUUUAUCUGGGAAGAAAAAACAAAUUGACGGUACCAGAUGAAUAAGCUCCGGCUAACUACGUGCCAGCCGCUGC